UGUUGACCAAAGGAGGCUGGGAGUGAAGGACAGGAGAACGACCUCUUUCUGUUGUGUUGCUCCUCCUGUGCUUAUAGAAGCAGGGUUUUGUACAGUCUUCCAAAUGAACAGAGCUUCAGCAGACAUACCUGAUUGCAUCUCCUCCUCACUGGAAUAAGCGAGAAGAGCCUGAAUUUUCAUUAACUCUGCAGCCUAGAGGGAUAACAAGGCAUUUUACAGGAACCAGAGAGGCAGGCAGGGUGGCUGUGUUCUGUUUGCAGUGCGAAGCACAGUGCCUGCACUGAUUGCGAGGUGAUUUGGCUUCUCGUUUUUGAGUGUCUGAGUUUCCAGCAGUGAAAUGGAGAUGUUCAGUCUGGCACCAAGCUGCAGGGAGAAAUACUGCCUGCUUUGCAAGCCAGCUCUGUGAAGCGACACACAUGCAUUUUUCAACGCAUGCAAAUCUCUGCAUACACUGCUGCAGAUCUCCACAGAGCAAAGAGCAUCUCACAGAGGGGAGAGGGGUGCUUACAAAAGGUAACCCCUGAAAGGCAGCUGUGUCAGGAGCCUCUGCCAUGCAAGUCGUUUUUUUUUUUUUUUUCUCCUGAAAACAGAAAGGGAAAAAGCCUUCCUCCCUAUCUUUGUAACUGAGACAGCCACUGUCUCUCCCUACUUCUGGGUUUCUCGUUUUUCCUUCUAGUAUAUAAUGGGAAAGCAUGUUAGGCCCAGAGCUCAGACGUGGGAGUCUGCGAGAGAGAGCGGCAGCUCCAAGACAAAAUGUGUCUGCACCGCAGGGAGGGAGCGGACGCCUUCCUGAACUUCCCACGCUGGGGAGGAGCUGCCCUGGAGGGACAGAUUCACUUCUGUGGCAAGACAGGGCUUUAUCAGGGUGGUGGCAGCCCUGGAGAAUCCCCAUGCUCCCGCUCUGCAGCCACAAGAGGACGAGGCCCAGACCCACUCCACACACCCGCCUGGGUGCUCUGGGCCUCAUUGCCCGCCAGCCCCAACCUGCACAGGGUCCUGGCAUGGGGCACCCACAGCAGUGACAACUUGUGGCACCUGCUUAAUGUCCAAUUUUGACUGACCAAUACAUUUCUGGUGGAGCCAUUGCAGAGGGAUAACUGCUGCCCUGACCGGGAGCCAAGCCGGAGCACAAAGGGCAGCGGUUUCCUCCCGCGGCUGGGGAGCACGGGAUGGGAGCACAUCCUGCUUCCUCUCCUGCCACAAAAAUCCCACAGGGGAGGAAAUGCCGGAGUUAACAUCCCCUUGUAAUGUAAGCAAGGGUGCGCUUACCAAGAGGACUGUCUCCAAAAGCCCAGGCCGUGCUAUUUCUCCCAGAGGGGUGUCCUGGAGGACCAGCUGUGCUGCUGGUGGGAGCUGCCCUGCUUCUGCUGAGCUCAGUUGCUGUCACCCAAGAGCAUCUGAGGAGCCUAUUGUUGCAUGUUGAAAGAGAAAGAUGCACGUAAACGUGCACACCUCUGCAGAUCCCCACCAGUGGGCUGCCCAGCUGUGAGUGGGAAAUCAGGAUGGCCUGGGGAGCAUCACACUGCUGGCUCACCAGAAAGCAUGGGCACCCCGGGACCCAUCUCUCAUCCACUCCCUGACUGUGCAAGAAGCUGUUCUCUCUUCUGUCCUCUAAUAUCACUCCUCCAGGACCUGACAUCCACCCAAGUGCACUGUGUACUUUAUAUGAGACCUAAUUCUGCCUGACCAGCAACGUUUGCAAGUUGUGAUGCUCAGAUUUGGGGUCAAUAACUUAAGAGUCAUGAACUGGAGCAAGACAAGACUUGGCAGACAAAGCAGAUUUCCAUUUGACUUUGUGUUGUGUGUUAAAAUGGAGGCACUGGAGUUUGCACCAACCUUUAAGCCACAUGGUUUCUGAAAGCCCACCUCAAAAAGUCAUUGACUCAUUUCUGUCUCCAGCUUCUGUGCAUGCAAUAAGUGCCCCUAGGACCUUCUGUGGGUUGCCUUUAGGCAAAGGAUGGAGCAAAAUACCUCCAGUUUCGGUGGUUCUACUGUCAGCCUGGCAGUGUGAUAUUGCAGUCA
This 2022-nucleotide long non-coding RNA is filed under the name Anas platyrhynchos platyrhynchos (common mallard). RNAcentral's name for it is "lncRNA (ENSAPLG00000022430.1)". Lineage: Eukaryota; Metazoa; Chordata; Aves; Anseriformes; Anatidae. The record is from RNAcentral.